CUUGACUUCCAUAAGAGGUCCAGCCUGCCCAGUGAUACUAUUAAACGGCCGCGGUACCCUGACCGUGCGAAGGUAGCAUAAUAACUUGUUCUUUAAAUGGGGACUAGCAUGAACGGCAUCACGAAGGUCUCACUGUCUCCUUUUUCUAAUCAGUGAAACUGAUCUCCCCGUGAAGAAGCGGGGAUAAAAAUAUAAGACGAGAAGACCCCAUGGAGCUUUAAACCCAAUAGACACCUCUGACUAAUCUAACCCAAAACACUUCUUAAGUUCUGUCUAUUGGUUUUAGGUUGGGGUGACCACGGAGUACAAUAAAUCCUCCAUGACGUACGGGACUUCCCUCUUAUCCUUGAACCACAUUUCUAAGAAUCAACAAAUUGACGUUUGAUGAUCCAAUAUAUUGAUCAACGGACCA
This 412-nucleotide ribosomal RNA is filed under the name Fejervarya limnocharis (Boie's wart frog). RNAcentral's name for it is "partial 16S ribosomal RNA". It matches the Rfam family "Bacterial large subunit ribosomal RNA", at positions 1835 to 2459 of the family's 2925-position model. The record is from RNAcentral. Lineage: Eukaryota; Metazoa; Chordata; Amphibia; Anura; Dicroglossidae.